Molecule: long non-coding RNA, 664 nt
Filed under: Solanum tuberosum (potato)
Lineage: Eukaryota; Viridiplantae; Streptophyta; Magnoliopsida; Solanales; Solanaceae
Description: long non-coding RNA (STUB_LNC006275)
Source: RNAcentral
UCCUUCCUAUCAUAUUCAUAAUUGAUUAAAUUCAUAUUAGAUCAUUAUGAACUAGAUUAUCUUUAUCAUGUUUUCCUGUCACUACUAGCAUCGUACUUUAGCGGAUACUUCCUUCUUAUCAGCGCCUCAACUUUGUUUACUCCCCUAAACGGCUUUCCUCGCCUACCGGUUUCAACAUUAGGAUGGCAUAGUAUAGAAGUUUUCUCCCUGUUUCCAGUGUGCUAAUAAACUAGAAAUCAUGAUUCAAAUAAUUCUAAUACAUAAUAACUAACAUAAAUUUAUUCAAUCAUAUAUAUGAUAUUCAGGAAUAUAUGAAAUUAGUUCCGCAUAUAGUUUGAACAAUAUACCUUUGUCUCUUGCUUAGCCAUGCUAUCUGAAAUAUCUGAUUGGAUUUCAGAUUUAUCCAUUAACUUUUUAAAUAUUUAUCUUAGUUGAGAGAGUAUUUAAAAGAGAGGAUUUUAUUUAUGUUAAGUGGUUUUCGUCUGCGGGUGUCUCCUCUUGUUACAUAUUCCUUCCUUUAUAUAGGAAAGGAAUUAGUGUACGUACUCUACACUACACUACUAUUCACAUCUCAUGACUCAUUACUUACAUAUUAUGACACUUUUUACAUUUGUCAUCCUUAUUAAGCAUGAACACCACCUAUUCUUACACUUGUCCAUCCUUG